AUGAACGCUGACAGAAUGCUUAACACAUGCCAGUCUUUGGCGAAGCUGUGCUUGCACAGCCUAGCCAAGGCGGACGGGUGAGUAACGCGUAAGGAACUUGCCCUGCAGUCAGGGAUAACAGACGGAAACGACUGAUAAGACCUGGUAAAGUCAGGCGGACUCAUGUCCAGCCUGAUGAAAAGAGAUGCUGCAGGAGAGCCUUGCGUCCUAUUAGCUUGUUGGUGGGGUAACGGCCCACCAAGGCGAUGAUAGGUAGCCGGCCUGAGAGGGUGGACGGCCACAAGGGGACUGAGAUACGGCCCUUACUCCUACGGGAGGCAGCAGUGGGGAAUAUUGGACAAUGGGGGCAACCCUGAUCCAGCAAUUCUGUGUGCACGAUGAAGGUUUUCGGAUUGUAAAGUGCUUUCAGCAGGGAAGAAAAAAAUGACGGUACCUGCAGAAGAAGCGACGGCUAAAUACGUG
RNAcentral lists this ribosomal RNA (462 nucleotides) under uncultured bacterium. Its description in RNAcentral is "partial 16S ribosomal RNA". It matches the Rfam family "Bacterial small subunit ribosomal RNA", at positions 29 to 507 of the family's 1533-position model. The record is from RNAcentral.